CUCAUCUGGUGUUACUAUAUUUAUUAUUAACAACAAAUCUUAUGAAAAGCUUGAUAAAAACACACCUACACACCAUCUGGCUGUUGUAAACCACCAGAGCAACAAAUAUUUGCUGAAAAUAGUCACUCCUUAGAAAAUUCUUUUUAAAAACGCAAGCUAAAUAAAUGUGAGUAUUUGAGUUCAGUCAGUGGCUCUUCUGGAGUUCAUGGAGCUGCUCAAGUGGUUAAAAUCUUGAAGAACAUUCAUGUUGUAAAGAUAAGGAUAAACGUUAUUGAUCCCACAGUGGGGAAAAUUCAUAAAAUCUACAGAAUGAGUUACUAAGUAGAUCCUGUGUGUGAACCAAGGUCAAGGUUGAAGAUGAGCCUUGAGGUCUUUUCAUGGGAUUUGUUGUCAAAAUAAAAAGUAGCACCAUCUUUAUGCUUUAAGUUAGGGCUGGUGAAACAGCUAAACAGUCAAUAAUAUUUCAUAAAAAAUAAUGUCUAUAUAUUAUAAAGAUACAUAAAUCACGGUAUUAGAAAUGAUCACAUUCAUGUCCACUAAAAUGUUAUCUUUCAACAGUUUUGUUUUGGGUUAUAAUAAAAUUUAUAAUACUGAAUUGUCAUCCAGCUCUGCCUCAAAAACACAUUAAGUCUAUAUUUAUAAGUAUAUAUGUAAGUAUAUCAACAAAUUAUCCUGUAACUGUUAGCAGAAUUGGCUGCAUUUGUCUUCUCAGAUUGGUCCAGAGCAGGCAGUGUUAGCCAAUCAUCUUUGUCCAUUUAUGCCUCCUUCAACAAGUCCAGGUCGUGAUGCAGCGCCCCCUGCUGGACAGCAACAGGCACUUAGCCCCAGGAGCUGAAAUAAGAGAGAGCAAAUAUGAAUAUUUUAUUUUUGGUUUAUCAAGGUAAUAAUUUAUUUUUUUAUCGUAUCUUUACCCAUGUGUGCGGGUAAAUGUUUUGUCUUUUACAUGUCUCCCCCUGAUUGUAUAAAAUGUAAAGAAAUGAAGAGACACUGUGUGUGAAACGUCAGGAGCUUAUUAAACAGUAUUACUGAGCCCAACACUGGUAGCCUGCAGUGGAGCUGCUGCUCUGGUGGGAAGCUCUGUUGAACGUGUGUGUGUGUGUGUGUGUGUGUGUGUGUGUGUGUGUGUGUGUGUGUGUGUGUGUGUGUGUGUGUGUGUGUGUGUGUGUGUGUGUGUGUGUGUGUGUGUGUGUGUGUGUGUGUGUGUGUGUGUGUGUGUGUGUGUGUUAGAAGAGACGUCAUCUUUAGUCUUUGGUUUGUUUCACUUCACAUUUAAAGAGUCAGUAAAGAACUGCACGCACAUUUACGUCAUCCCUGUUUUGAACACCACGUCAAACAUCCUUGUAACGGUCGUCACCGAGUCCCCAGCAGCGAUGGUCCACGUGUCUUCUCAGUAUCAUGAUUCUUCAUCAUGGAUAUUAGCCUUUGGUGAUUGAUUGGACUUAUUUAGCAGCAUUUUCUGCAUUUGACAUCAUCCUGACUGUUUGUUAGAACAGUGGAAGUAAGUGAGAUUAAAUCUUUCCAGAAG
This is a long non-coding RNA of Amphiprion ocellaris (clown anemonefish), 1525 nucleotides long. The record is from Ensembl. NCBI's taxonomy places the organism in Eukaryota, Metazoa, Chordata, Actinopteri, Pomacentridae.